CACGGAGUUAGCCGGGGCUUCUUCUCUCGGUACCGUCAUUCCGAUGACGUGUUGGGUCACCGAUCAUUCGUCCCGAUUGAAAGGAGUUUACGACCCGAAGAUCUUCAUCCUCCACGCGGCGUUGCGUCGUCAGGCUUUCGCCCAUUGCGAACAAUUCCCCACUGCUGCCUCCCGUAGGAGUCUGGGCCGUGUCUCAGUCCCAGUGUGUCCGUCCGCCCUCUCAGGCCGGAUACCGAUCGUAGCCUUGGUGGGCCAUUACCUCACCAACUAGCUAAUCGGGCGCGGGCCCCUCUUCGAGCGCCAGGUCUUACGAUCCCCGGCUUUAAUGUCCGCCUGUUCAAAGGCAGGAUGUCAUGCGGUAUUAGCACCCCUUUGGGAUGUUACUCCCCCACUCGAAGGCAGGUCACCCACGUGUUACUCACCCGUUCGCCACUCUACUCAUGGAUUGCUCCACUUUCGCGUUCGACUUGCAUGUGUUAGGCACGCCGCCAGCGUUGAUUCUGCGCAGGAUA
RNAcentral lists this ribosomal RNA (512 nucleotides) under uncultured bacterium. RNAcentral's name for it is "partial 16S ribosomal RNA". The record is from RNAcentral.